RNAcentral lists this ribosomal RNA (1209 nucleotides) under Bacillus velezensis. RNAcentral's name for it is "bacterial SSU rRNA". It matches the Rfam family "Bacterial small subunit ribosomal RNA", at positions 250 to 1455 of the family's 1533-position model. The record is from RNAcentral. Lineage: Bacteria; Bacillati; Bacillota; Bacilli; Caryophanales; Bacillaceae.
GUGGUGAGAGAAGGCUCCCACAGGGGGAGAGGGUUACCCACCUGAGAGGGUUUUGGCCCCACGGGGAUGGAACACGGCCCCAACUUCUUCGGGAGGCAGCAGUAGGAAUCUUCCGCAAAGGAAGAAAUUCGACGGAGCAACGCCGCUUGAAUGAUGAAGGUUUUCGGAUCGUAAAGCUCUGUUGUUAGGGAAGAACAAGUGCCGUUCAAAUAGGGCGGCACCUUGACGGUACCUAACCAGAAAGCCACGGCUAACUACGUGCCAGCAGCCGCGGUAAUACGUAGGUGGCAAGCGUUGUCCGGAAUUAUUGGGCGUAAAGGGCUCGCAGGCGGUUUCUUAAGUCUGAUGUGAAAGCCCCCGGCUCAACCGGGGAGGGUCAUUGGAAACUGGGGAACUUGAGUGCAGAAGAGGAGAGUGGAAUUCCACGUGUAGCGGUGAAAUGCGUAGAGAUGUGGAGGAACACCAGUGGCGAAGGCGACUCUCUGGUCUGUAACUGACGCUGAGGAGCGAAAGCGUGGGGAGCGAACAGGAUUAGAUACCCUGGUAGUCCACGCCGUAAACGAUGAGUGCUAAGUGUUAGGGGGUUUCCGCCCCUUAGUGCUGCAGCUAACGCAUUAAGCACUCCGCCUGGGGAGUACGGUCGCAAGACUGAAACUCAAAGGAAUUGACGGGGGCCCGCACAAGCGGUGGAGCAUGUGGUUUAAUUCGAAGCAACGCGAAGAACCUUACCAGGUCUUGACAUCCUCUGACAAUCCUAGAGAUAGGACGUCCCCUUCGGGGGCAGAGUGACAGGUGGUGCAUGGUUGUCGUCAGCUCGUGUCGUGAGAUGUUGGGUUAAGUCCCGCAACGAGCGCAACCCUUGAUCUUAGUUGCCAGCAUUCAGUUGGGCACUCUAAGGUGACUGCCGGUGACAAACCGGAGGAAGGUGGGGAUGACGUCAAAUCAUCAUGCCCCUUAUGACCUGGGCUACACACGUGCUACAAUGGGCAGAACAAAGGGCAGCGAAACCGCGAGGUUAAGCCAAUCCCACAAAUCUGUUCUCAGUUCGGAUCGCAGUCUGCAACUCGACUGCGUGAAGCUGGAAUCGCUAGUAAUCGCGGAUCAGCAUGCCGCGGUGAAUACGUUCCCGGGCCUUGUACACACCGCCCGUCACACCACGAGAGUUUGUAACACCCGAAGUCGGUGAGGUAACCUUUUAGGAGCCAGGCG